GUGAGUCAUCGAAUCUUUGAACGCACAUUGCGCCCAUUAGUAUUCUAGUGGGCAUGCCUGUUCGAGCGUCAUUUCAACCCUUAAGCCUAGCUUAGUGUUGGGAAUCUACUUCUCUUAGGAGUUGUAGUUCCUGAAAUACAACGGCGGAUUUGUAGUAUCCUCUGAGCGUAGUAAUUCUUUUCUCGCUUUUGUUAGGUGCUAUAACUCCCAGCCGCUAAACCCCCAAUUUUUUGUGGUUGACCUCGGAUCAGGUAGGAAUACCCGCUGAACUUAAGCAUAUCAAUAAGCGGAGGA
Molecule: unclassified non-coding RNA, 294 nt
Filed under: fungal sp.
Lineage: Eukaryota; Fungi
Description: partial contains 5.8S ribosomal RNA, internal transcribed spacer 2, and large subunit ribosomal RNA
Rfam family: 5.8S ribosomal RNA (bases 1-71)
Source: RNAcentral